Molecule: long non-coding RNA, 461 nt
Organism: Patella vulgata (common limpet)
Lineage: Eukaryota; Metazoa; Mollusca; Gastropoda; Patellidae
Exons: 10
Source: RefSeq, a predicted model, not a curated record
UGGUGCUUAUGUUGAUCCUGCUGUUGGAGCUGGUAUUGGUUAUGUUGACCCUGUCACUCUUACCGCUGGAAAUGGUGGUGCUUAUGUUGAUCCUGCUGUUGGAGCUGGUACUGGUUAUGUUGACCCUGUCACUCUUACCGCUGGAAAUGGUGGUGCUUAUGUUGACCCUGCUGCCACCCUUACUGCAACUACGUACGUUGGCCCACAAAACAAUGCAGCUACCGGUGGUGCUUUUGUUGAUCCUGUUGCCACUCUUUCUGCUGGGGCUGGGACUACGUCCUACGCUGGCUCACAAAACAAUGUAGCUUCCGGUGGUGCUUAUGUUGAUCCUGCUGCCACUCAAUAUGCUGGGGCUCCAGGUUCUACGUCAUAUGUUGACCCAGUACCUGCAGGCUCUGCUGCUACCUCCUAUACUACAGUGAAUAAUGCCGGCCAAGUAGUAAAUACCAAUCUCCAUUCAG